AUGCAAGUUGUGCGCCUCCUAGCCAUGUUGGAGACGCAGCGUACGGCUCCGUAACACGUAGUUAAUCUGCCCUUGGGACGGGAAUAAUCCUGGGAAACUGGGGCUAAUUCCCGAUAGGCGCAGUGGCCUAGAAUGGUACUGCACUCAAAAGGCUUUAAGAACAUGCUUUUGGAGCUGCCCAAGGAUGAGACUGCGGCCGAUCAGGUUGUUGGUGGGGUAACUGCCUACCAAGCCUAUAACCGGUACGGGCCCUGAGAGGGGGAGCCCGGAGAUGGGAACUGAGACAAGGUCCCAGGUCCUACGGGGCGCAGCAGGCGCGAAAACUCCGCAAUGCGCGAAUGCGUGACGGGGUUAUCCCGAGUGCCGUCCGAUGAGGAUGGCUUUUCUUCAGUUUAAGGAUCUGUAGGAAUAAAGGGGGGGCAAGACUGGUGUCAGCCGCCGCGGUAAUACCAGCCUCCUGAGUGGUGGGGACGAUUAUUUGGCCUAAAGCGUCCGUAGCCGGCUUAAGAAGUCUUUCGUUAAAUCCGACGAUUCAAUCGUUGGCCCGCGAGAGAUACUGUUAGGCUUGAGGGCGGGAGAGGUCGACGGUACUCCUUGGGUAGGGGUGAAAUCCUAUAAUCCUGGGAGGACCACCAGUGGCGAAAGGCGGUCGACUAGAACGUGCCUGACGGUGAUGGACGAAAGCUGGGGGAGCGAACCGGAUUAGACACCCGGGUAGUCCCAGCUGUAAACGAUGCGAGCUAGGUGUUGGAGCAACUACGAGUUGCCCCAGUGCCGCAGAGAGUUGUUAAGCUCGCGCCUGGGAAGUACGGCGCAAGCUGAAACUUAAGGAAUUGCGGGGAGCACCCACAGGGGUGAGCCUGCGUCAAUGAUCACGCCGG
This 881-nucleotide ribosomal RNA is filed under the name uncultured archaeon. RNAcentral's name for it is "bacterial SSU rRNA". It matches the Rfam family "Archaeal small subunit ribosomal RNA", at positions 51 to 921 of the family's 1478-position model. The record is from RNAcentral.